RNAcentral lists this ribosomal RNA (407 nucleotides) under uncultured bacterium. RNAcentral describes it as "partial 16S ribosomal RNA". It matches the Rfam family "Bacterial small subunit ribosomal RNA", at positions 35 to 526 of the family's 1533-position model. The record is from RNAcentral.
AUAGACAGCUGGCGGCAGGGCUAACACAUGCAAGUCGGGCGGAGCGGCGGACGGGUGAGGAAUGCCUAGGAAUCAGCCUGGAAGAGGGGGAUAACGUCCGGAAACGGGCGCUAAUACCGCAUAAUAUCAGAUCAGACUAGGUCGGAAUAGCUAGUUGGGGGGGUAAAGGCCUACAAAGGGGACGAUCCGAAACUGGUCUGAGAGGAGGAUCAGUCACACUGGAACUGAGACACGGUCCAGACUCCUACGGGAGGCAGCAGUGGGGAAUAUUUCACAAUGGGCGCAAGCCUGAUGCAGCCAUGCCGCGUGUAUGAAGAAGGCCUUCGGGUUGUAAAGUACUUUCAGUCGGGAGGCGUUACCGACAGAAGAAGCACCGGCUAACUCCGUGCCAGCAGCCGCGGUAAUUC